UGCUGUUCCACACCCGGCUGUGUCCGUGCCAGACGCUUGCUCACUCAUGUCCCUUUGUGUGUGCACAGCUGAAUCCUCACCCGAGUCACACAAGUCUUCCAAGUAAGUUCCGUUCUUCCCCCUUCUACAGGCAAGGACACAGAGCUUCGCAGAAUUCAGCUCUUUCGGCCCAGGUCCCUUGCCCCAGGAAGGUGGGGGACGACCCAGCCAAUCUCUCCAGAGCCCGCGGCGUGCACAGCAGAGCUCAGAAGGGCCGCUUCUGAAUCCUCGAGCAGCAGUGUUCGAUUUUCUGUCAAUGCUGACUCCAAACGGCUGCUCUUCCCCAUCCGGGUGCUGCCGGUCUCCAGCCAGCAUGUGCCAGACUCGGAGGGGACAGCAGCUUGAGCUCAUAAAGAUACAAUAAUAAUCGUAAGGGGCAUAACAGGGGUCGGGCACGGUGGCUCACGCCUGUAAUCCCAGCGCUUUGGGAGGCCGAGGCGGGCGGAUCACGAGGUCAGGAGAUCGAGACCAUCCUGGCUAACACGGCGAAACCCCGUCUCUACUAAAAAUACAAAAAACAAAAUCAGCCGGGCGCGGUGGCUCACGCCUGUAAUCCCAGCGCUUUGGGAGGCCGAGGCGGGUGAAUCACGAGGUCAGGAGAUUGAGACCAUCCUGGCUAACACGGUGAAACGCCAUCUCUACUAAAAAUACAAAAAAUUAG
RNAcentral lists this long non-coding RNA (700 nucleotides) under Homo sapiens (human). RNAcentral's name for it is "HSALNT0117585". Lineage: Eukaryota; Metazoa; Chordata; Mammalia; Primates; Hominidae. The record is from RNAcentral.